CGCGUAGGCGGUCUUGUCGGUCAGAUGUGAAAGCCCGGGGCUCAACCCUGGAAGUGCAUUUGAAACAGCAAGACUUGAAUACUGGAGAGGAGAGCGGAAUUCCUGGUGUAGAGGUGAAAUUCGUAGAUAUCAGGAGGAACACCGAUGGCGAAGGCAGCUCUCUGGACAGAUAUUGACGCUGAGGCGCGAAGGUGUGGGUAGCGAACAGGAUUAGAUACCCUGGUAGUAC
This 229-nucleotide ribosomal RNA is filed under the name uncultured bacterium. RNAcentral's name for it is "partial 16S ribosomal RNA". It matches the Rfam family "Bacterial small subunit ribosomal RNA", at positions 568 to 796 of the family's 1533-position model. The record is from RNAcentral.